AUUGAACGCUGGCGGCAUGCCUUACACAUGCAAGUCGAACGGUAACAGGUCUUCGGAUGCUGACGAGUGGCGAACGGGUGAGUAAUACAUCGGAACGUGCCUAGUAGUGGGGGAUAACUACUCGAAAGAGUGGCUAAUACCGCAUGAGAUCUACGGAUGAAAGCAGGGGAUCGCAAGCCCUUGUGCUACUAGAGCGGCCGAUGGCAGAUUAGGUAGUUGGUGGGAUAAAAGCUUACCAAGCCGACGAGCUGUAGCUGGUCUGAGAGGGCGAUCAGCCACACUGGGACGGAGACACGGCCCAGACUCCUACGGGAGGCAGCAGUGGGGAAUUUUGGACAAUGGGCGAAAGCCUGAUCCAGCAAUGCCGCGUGCAGGAUGAAGGCCUUCGGGUUGUAAACUGCUUUUGUACGGAACGAAAAGCCCCGGGUUAAUACCCUGGGGUCAUGACGGUACCGUAAGAAUAAGCACCGGCUAACUACGUGCCAGCCGCCGCCGUAA
This 498-nucleotide ribosomal RNA is filed under the name uncultured bacterium. Its description in RNAcentral is "partial 16S ribosomal RNA". It matches the Rfam family "Bacterial small subunit ribosomal RNA", at positions 30 to 523 of the family's 1533-position model. The record is from RNAcentral.